UACGGGGGGGGCAAGCGUUGUUCGGAAUUACUGGGCGUAAAGGGCUCGUAGGUGGCCAACUAAGUCAGACGUGAAAUCCCUCGGCUUAACCGGGGAACUGCAUCUGAUACUGGAUGGCUUGAGUUUGGGAGAGGGAUGUGGAAUUCCAGGUGUAGCGGUGAAAUGCGUAGAUAUCUGGAGGAACACCGGUGGCGAAGGCGGCAUCCUGGACCAACACUGACACUGAGGAGCGAAAGCCAGGGGAGCAAACGGG
This 253-nucleotide ribosomal RNA is filed under the name uncultured bacterium. Its description in RNAcentral is "partial 16S ribosomal RNA". It matches the Rfam family "Bacterial small subunit ribosomal RNA", at positions 524 to 776 of the family's 1533-position model. The record is from RNAcentral.